CACCGCGGUUAUACGAGUGGCCCAAGUUGAAAGUUACCGGCGUAAAGAGUGGUUAGGGAAACAAUAAACUAAAGCCGAACACCCUCUAGGCUGUUAUACGCUUCUGAGGACACGAAGCCCCACUACGAAAGUGGCUUUAAUACACCUGAACCCACGACAACUAAGACA
Molecule: ribosomal RNA, 168 nt
Filed under: Hypomesus japonicus
Lineage: Eukaryota; Metazoa; Chordata; Actinopteri; Osmeriformes; Osmeridae
Description: partial 12S rRNA
Source: RNAcentral